GUUUGUUUUGUUCAUGUGUGGAGAGGUGGUUGCAGUCAGUGAUGAUUUUACAACACGCUGUCUCCUGCUGUUUAAAGGAUUUAGGCUGGGAUGAAAUGUUUUCCAAUAAUUAGUGAUUUUUGUGUUUGUUUAUUACCUGCACGGAGUUCCGUGAAAAGGAAAGCAUCCCUUUUCUGUGUUGAAUUUCACACACAGAGCGGAGCGCGUCAGUCGCAGCUACAGACAAGUCGAGCUUUUCAAUGAGAUGAUUUAAUGAGAAACAAACGCGUUGAAGCUCCAGCAGAGCUCUGCGCGAUUCUGAAAGACCAAAGUAAAGUUACUCCUUGCAAAGCAUGUUGUUUGUGUUCUUUCUUUAUCACACCAGAAGAAGUCAUGAAUAUAUUUGAAUGGGAAGGCUACAGUACAAAAUAAAUAUUAAUAAAUAAAAACCGCAGGCGGUGUUUCUGAAUGAAAAGAGGAUUCCGCUAGACCAGUGUGAAACUCAAACCAGUGAAGAUGGACGCGUCAGUGUGUCCGUGUCGCUCUUUCAAGACGAGCUCGCCUCUACCAUCGAGCACGCAGUGAAAGCGCCUCUACACACCGUCUUGUGCGCGAUUACUAAAGCUGUCGGCAGCAAUUCACUGAAUUCAGAGUGGAAAUGGAACAAAAAGGAGAAAGAGAAUGAAAGUCUGAAGCUGAGAUUGGAAAUAUCAGAGAACGAGCUGAAAGCUGUGCGAGGGUGUAUAAACGCUACACAUGCAGACACUAAACAACCUUUAAUAUUUCAAGAUCCCAAAGAGAGCCACGCUAUCCCUGAAUCUGAAGCACAGGAAGGGCCAAAGAUAGAAGCAGGAGUGCUGUGCAAGUCUAAUGCAGGUUACAGAGCUGGCAUGUGUUAAAGAUGAAGAGGUCCCUCAACAGGAAUGUGUUCCUAUUAAAGAGGAAUUCAUAGAGCAGGAAUGUGUCCCCAUCGCAGAGGAACUUCCUCAUGAAAAUCAUGUCUGUACACUUGAGGAGAACAACAAGCUGGGAUCCAACCUGUGUGAUGACUCUCCAUCUGAAUGUGAACUGGGAUUUAGAGGUAAUCCUACAAAACAAGCAGCAUUGAGCUGCCUAUUCAUCCUGCAGAAACUGGUACUGAACACCAGCAGUGUGCUUGAGAUUCAUAUUUUAACCAAGGGGAGCUGCCCAACCACUAUGUCAACAAGGACAUCACUGUGCUUGCUCCUGAGGCACCUGCUAGAUGUGCAGCCGCUGCCACGCCUCUUUAGAAUGCUGUGAGAUCAGCGGUGUCCAAUCACGCUCCUGGAGGCCAUUCCACUCCACAUUGAACAGCUUCUAAAGUAGAUGAAGGAGAACGCGACUCCACUCUAUCACCCCAGUGCAAAAAUGCUUCUAGAGGCAAACCACAGUGCAAGAAACACAGAGAAACAACACCCCAAGAAGAAAAUGUGAAGACAUUGAGAACUCACUCAGUUACAAUACCUUCCUUACAAGACAGACACCCACUUACUGUGUAGAGUACAGAGACGCCACAUUCUGUAUGUUUUAACAAUUCUGAAACCCAGGGCAACUUGAAGACCUUGCCUCAUUCUAUUAAAGGUGGGAAGAGUUCCUGUCAAUUAGACACUCCUGAAACUCACAAGGGAAAUCCCAGAGGAGGGACUCCGUGUUCCUGGGCUGAUUGUAGGAAGAGUUUCAAUCAUAUAUCACUGCUUAAAAGACACCAGCGCGUUCACACAGGAGAGAAACCUUCUCACAUACAGACCAGUGAUAAGAGUUUUACACAGUUAGGAAAUCUUCAUUCACACCAGUGCAUUCACAUAGGAGAGAAACAUUAUCACUGUACUGAGUGUGGGGAGAGAUUCAGUCAGUUAGGAAACCGCACAAGACACCAUAACAUUCACACAUAUGUGUAAUCCUAUCCCUGCACUUAGUGUGAAGAUGUUAAGUCAGUUGCAGGCUCUUACAGGACUUGAGAACAUUCUCAGAAAUGCAGACACUUGGGGACACCUAAACAACAGGAGUGCAUUCGACUAAAUACAGAAAUAUUAACUGAAAACAAAAGAAUAAACUUGCUUGAUAAAUAGGGUCACCCCUAAUCACAAUCUGUUCAGAUCAAAAACUCACCAAAAUCUGUGUUCAUCAUGUUGUUGAGCAUAUUAAAUAGAUUGUUAUUAUGAGUGCAAGUUUCUCUUUUUUUCCUCCUGCAUUGCUCAGCCUCUUGCAGUGUGUUGUGUGGAAUCUUCCCUGAUACCAUGGUGAAUCUGCGGUACAUCAAGACGCAGCACAGUAUACCACAGUUAUCAUGCGGGCAGCUUGAAGUGGAAAAUCAAUACUGUUUCCAGCAGGGUGCGCCAGAGACCUUUUAGCACUUUAAUGGGCUGCAUACCAUUGCUUCUUAACAAGGUGAUUUCUGCUCCUGAUGUGUUGAAUACUCCCCUCUCUCUCUCUGGGGGACUCUAUUAAACAAACAGGCACAAGGUAUUUAGAAAUCACAGCUUUAUUACAUCAUCUUAGAUUCUCUCGUGUACCAGUUCUCUGUGCAUGGAAACAACAUUUUCAUGAGCAAUCUGCGAAAACAGCACAAGAACUUUACACAUGGCUAAUUUAUAUAGCAACCCCCACCUUUCUCCUUCAUUUACAUGACGUCUGAUGAAAGCCAGGUUUUCUCAAGUAAAAUAAACUGAGCGAAUGGGAACCCGAAAAAGCAUUUUGCACAAGACAUUUUUAUUAAGCAAUUCCAGUGGUUUGCAGAAGUAUUCACCCCCCUGCAAAGUUUUCACAUUUUGUUGGCACCUGAGCGUACUCCACGACGCUUUCAAAUUAGACUUUACAUGUAGAAUCUACACAAACUACUCCACAUUGAUAAAGUUAAAGGUCACAAAAUUAGUGAAAUAGUUUUAGCUUGUAUGUACUCAAAGUGGUUUAACUUGUAGAUAAUUACAUUCAGGCAUAUAAAGACUUUCAAGCUGCAACUCGCAUAGUGAACCAACAAAGCAACCAUGAAGACCAAGGAGCUUUCGAAAUAAGUCAGGAAUAAAGUGGUAGAGAGGCACAGAGAAGGGUACAAGAACAUUUCAAAGGCUCUGAUUAUCCCUCUCAGCACAGUGAAGGCCAUCAUUAAGAAGUGGAAGAUGCAUCAUACCACCCAGACACUACCCAGAUCAGGUCGCUCUCCCAAACUGAGCAGCUGGACAAGCAGGAAACUGGUUCGGGAUGUCACUGAAGCCACCAAUGACCUUGAGAGAUCUGCAAAGUUCUGUGUCUAAGGUGGGAGUCAGCAUUCACACAUCAACAAUAAGCCAGUCCCUACACAAAGCUGGCCUGUAUGGAUGGGUGGCAAGAAAGAAGCCAUUACUCAAAAAGCAAUUGAACUACUGGUGACACAUUUCCUUUUUAUAUUUCCAUAUUUCAGCACAUGCAUCAGUGAUGUGAUAUCCAUCAAAGUUCCUUUGAAAUGCACAAUCAGGUGUUCAGUGGGAGCAGUGGUCACACUUCAUUUGAAGUGCUGCUUGUUUAGUCUAGUAACUGUUAGCAAAGAGCUCAUUAAAACUAUCAAACAUUGUUCAUUGUGUUCUUAAUGUUUGGUUAAUUAAAAAGUAACCUAUUUAUGUACUAAUAAUGUCAUAUUAUUGGAAUUGGGAGAGGUUUGUUUAAAGGAACUAUUGAAGCUAGUACUGUAGUAAUGUUUAGCAGUGAGAUCAGGUUUGGUUUUAUUACCGUAUACUCACUAGGAAUUGACGCAUGCGCUUAUACUUGAGUAUGUGCUGUUUUCUGUGCAGGUGCAGUUACUCCUUUGGUUUCAUAUAGAAGCUUAUGCACCUGCAUUUGAGUGUAAUGCAAGGUGUGGAGGCUCACAUGUUCAUAUAUUGCAUUACAAGUUAAACACCAUAUUUAUUCUUUCUCUUUGAAUUCCAAAUGUUGUAAGACGGAUAAGGGUGUCUGCUAAGAAAUGAAUAAAUAAUAAUCUUUUUAGCUUGUAAUAAGAUAAUAAUAAUAUCUUUAUUUUUAUAUAGCACCUUUCAUAGUGGAACACCAUCUCACAGUGCUUUACAGAGGUAGGUUGUGAACUGUGCAUUAUAUGCAGAGUCACUUACAAUAGGGCAUUGAUUUAAUAAUAUAAGAAAAGUUAUGAACAAAAUCAGGGAAUUUAAUGCAUCAAUACUUUUCUUGUAGCUGACUGAUCCCUGGCUUUCAUCUAGUUGGCUUUUAAAGACAUCCUAAUGACUCUGCAGCAGCACCAUUCUAGUGACCCAUUUCAAACACUCCCAACUCUGUGAGAAGUGUCUUCUCUAAUCCUUCUUUGUUCCAGGCUAAAUAGA
Molecule: long non-coding RNA, 4304 nt
Organism: Acipenser ruthenus (sterlet)
Lineage: Eukaryota; Metazoa; Chordata; Actinopteri; Acipenseriformes; Acipenseridae
Exons: 3
Source: RefSeq, a predicted model, not a curated record